CGCGUCCUCGUCUUUCCCCUCCCAUCUCCUCAGAUCGGUGGACGUGCUCGCCUCCACUCGGGGCCAGGUCUAUGUCCCGGUUUCCCGCAGUCGCGGGCAGGGCGCCAAGGCGGCAGGAGGAGGGUGAGCGGUCAAGAGACCUCCAGGAAGAGCGGCUCUCGGCUGUUUGCAUCGCCGAUAGAGGUGCGGUCCGCGGGACGCCUGCCUUUGGGUACAGUAUGAAGGGAGCCAGUUUCCAGGAGCCAGUUUCCAUGGUUACCCACCACUUGGCCUUCUGGGAUAUCAGUCGCUCUGAACAGGGACCUAACUUGAACCAUGAAUCAGAAGCAAACACAGGUG
Molecule: long non-coding RNA, 339 nt
Filed under: Homo sapiens (human)
Lineage: Eukaryota; Metazoa; Chordata; Mammalia; Primates; Hominidae
Description: HSALNT0243271
Source: RNAcentral